UACGUAGGGUGCAAGCGUUGUCCGGAAUUAUUGGGCGUAAAGAGCUCGUAGGCGGUUCGUCGCGUCGGCUGUGAAAACCUGAGGCUCAACCUCGGGCCUGCAGUCGAUACGGGCAAACUAGAGUACUGCAGGGGAGACUGGAAUUCCUGGUGUAGCGGUGAAAUGCGCAGAUAUCAGGAGGAACACCGGUGGCGAAGGCGGGUCUCUGGGCAGUAACUGACGCUGAGGAGCGAAAGCGUGGGGAGCGAACAGG
Molecule: ribosomal RNA, 253 nt
Filed under: uncultured bacterium
Lineage: Bacteria
Description: partial 16S ribosomal RNA
Rfam family: Bacterial small subunit ribosomal RNA
Source: RNAcentral